CCAUUGCUCAUUCAUGUUCAUCUCAUUAGGUUGGCUCUAAAGCCUAGCUACGAGCAUGUCUAUUCCAUUCAUUUGCCAGAGUUUAAUUGUUAAUUAGCAGUGGGCUUAGGAGGCGGCAGGAACUUAGGAUUAGGGUGAAGGAAGAACCAAAGUAUCAUUGUGUCACUAUAUUCUUGAUCUCCAAACCCUACAGACUACAGUGAUGGAGAUCGUGGACAUUGAUCAGUAGCGAUGUAUGGGAUGGACUAAUGAGGACGUUGAUGCAUAUUUGUUAAAUUAUAAGCAGUAAGAGAGAGGUACUGCAUUUUGCAAUUAGGCUUGUGUUCUAGAAAGAUAUCCUUCCAAGAUUCAUCUAAAGGUGACAACAUUAUUUUUCACUUGAAUGAGCUAAUUGAUUAUGGGGUUAAACACAACCAAAGAAAACACGCAGUUAGCAUAAAGUAAAUAAUAUGGUGUAUGAUUAAGGAUCAACGCCUGAUGUAUUAGUUCCUUUAUGUGUAAUAGAGCUCUUCUCCUACAUGCGAUAUAU
This 529-nucleotide long non-coding RNA is filed under the name Oryza brachyantha (malo sina). Its description in RNAcentral is "long non-coding RNA (OBRA_LNC001966)". Lineage: Eukaryota; Viridiplantae; Streptophyta; Magnoliopsida; Poales; Poaceae. The record is from RNAcentral.